Long non-coding RNA from Pezoporus occidentalis (night parrot), 562 nucleotides. RefSeq lists it as uncharacterized. The transcript is spliced from 3 exons. The record is from RefSeq and is a predicted model, not a curated record. NCBI's taxonomy places the organism in Eukaryota, Metazoa, Chordata, Aves, Psittaciformes, Psittacidae.
AAGCCAUGUUGGUCAUCACCAAUCACCUCCUUAUUCUCUACACACUUUUCCAGGAGGAUCUGCUCCAUGAUCUUGCUGGGCACCAAUGUGAGACUUAUUGGCUUGUUCCCUGGGUCUCCCUUUUUUCCCUUUUAAAAAUUGGGUUAUGUUUUCUGUUUUUCAGCCAGUGGGAACUUCACCAGACUCCCAUGACUUCUCAAAUAUGUGGCUGAGCCACUUCAUCUGCCAGUUCCUCAGGACUUGAAGAUGCAUCCCAUUUGGUUGCAUGGACUUGUGCACCUUAUGGAAUUCAAGAGGUAUUAGGAGAGAAUUUGGAUGGCAGGAGAAUACCAACCUUUCCCCUGGAAUAAUGCACUGGCUGAGGCACCCAGUGUGACAUGAGAAAGUGCAGAGCCACCUGCCCUGCUUUGCUCCAUGAACAGCAGCCAGCAGCUCCUGGGGCCUGUUUAUCCAGUCGCCCCUAUUCUUACACAUUUUGGGUGGAAUAAAACAGACUCCAGAUACCAUCAGCUCCUGCUGUUGGGCAAAAGCCUGACUAAUGUUAUUUUGAUAAAAAAUAAAA